GACGAACGCUGGCGGCGUGCUUAACACAUGCAAGUCGAACGGAAAGGCCCUGCUUUUGUGGGGUGCUCGAGUGGCGAACGGGUGAGUAACACGUGAGUAACCUGCCCUUGACUUUGGGAUAACUUCAGGAAACUGGGGCUAAUACCGGAUAGGAGCUCCUGCUGCAUGGUGGGGGUUGGAAAGUUUCGGCGGUUGGGGAUGGACUCGCGGCUUAUCAGCUUGUUGGUGGGGUAGUGGCUUACCAAGGCUUUGACGGGUAGCCGGCCUGGGAGGGUGACCGGCCAAAUUGGAACGGGGUUAGGGCCCGGACUCCAACGGGAGGCAGCGGUGGGGAUGAUGGCACAAUGGGCGGAGGCCGAAUGCGGCAACGCCGCGUGCGGGAUGACGGCCUUGGGGUUGUAAACCACUUUCGCCUGUGACGAAGCGUGAGUGACGGUAAUGGGUAAAGAAGCACCGGCUAACUACGUG
RNAcentral lists this ribosomal RNA (468 nucleotides) under uncultured bacterium. RNAcentral's name for it is "partial 16S ribosomal RNA". It matches the Rfam family "Bacterial small subunit ribosomal RNA", at positions 28 to 507 of the family's 1533-position model. The record is from RNAcentral.